Molecule: long non-coding RNA, 476 nt
Filed under: Felis catus (domestic cat)
Lineage: Eukaryota; Metazoa; Chordata; Mammalia; Carnivora; Felidae
Description: lncRNA (ENSFCAG00000053847.1)
Source: RNAcentral
GCAAGAGUGUCUCCAAGUUUUGCUGGCCUCAUCAGCAGCAUGGGGAAGAGGUUCCAAGCUCCCACUGGCAAAGCACCAGGAACGAGUUACAAAGUGUGCUGAACUACCCAUGGAGGGGCCACAUCUGAUCUUCAGAGCAAGCCUCUGCCCCUUCCUCCCACCGGGUUCCAAUAUCCAAGAGUCAGACCUUAUGUUUCCAGCCGCUGGUGCGUAGAGGUGCUUGAUUAAAUCUUUUGAUAAGAAUUAAGUUUUGGUCCAUCACUGAGAAGAGAGCAUAAUUAACAGGCUUUAAAAAAAAAUAGGCUGCUUGUUAGAGCGGUUUUAGAUUCACAGUAACAUUGAGGGGACAGUACAGAGUGCUCCCUCACCCCUGCACCGGUUAUGGUUGAUGACCCUGCACGGAUCCACCAUCAUCACCCAGAGUCCAUAGUUCACGCCAGGGCUCACUCUUGGUGUUGUGCAUUCCGUGGGGUUCG